AUGGUUGGUGGGCUGGAAGUGGGUUGGGGGAUGAGCCUCCUGGGAUUUGGGUUGUGUCGAGCCUUACCGCCUGGUGUGUUGGGUAACCUUCACGCCAGGGGGGGGGUGCCAAGACCAUAUCCAUCUCCUGGGCAGGGCGAUUCCCCUUUCCCAUGCCAACUGGCCCUCCUCCGUCUGCCUCCCCAAACCCCCGCUAAGUGCUUGUGUGUGUUAUUUUAUUUAGGAUGUCUUUUUUUUCUAUGCCUUUUUCCCGUGUGUUUAUACCCAAUAGCUAGCGUGUGUGUGUGUGGCAGUCCGGAGGCGCGUGCAGCGAGGACAUCACAUCACGUCACUACGGUAUAUCCACGGUAUUUGGUUUAGUGUGUGCUGUGUGUGUUUGUGUGUGUGAUGGCAGGCCUGCCGUGUGUUUGACCUUUUGCUGUGUGUUGCUGUGUGACUGCUAGGAUUUCAUUUCUAUGUAUGUUUUUUUCCCCAUAACCCCCUUCCUCCCUAGCUCUUUAGCUGUUGUCCCUGCUGGGUGGAUGCUGCCGGGCGACCAACGGCGGUGGCGGUGUGCAACGCGGGAGCUGCUGAGGUUUGGGGUAGCACUACGGUGCAGGUUAUGUAGGGUGUGUGAGUUUUUUUUUUGUGUGAGUGUCUUUUUUUUGUGUGGGGUGUUGGCGGGGGACUUAGCUAAUCACUGUGUCAGGAAGGCAUGGGCGUGGCCGUCUGUCCAUCAGGCCGACGGGCGGGUGUGCCACCUGGCAGUCAGGCUAGCAGGUGACAGGCAAGCUAUCUGGUGGUCAGGCUGUAAGUCGGGCCAUCAGAUAGGUAGGCAGGCCACCUUGCGGUCGGGUUGUCGGGCGGGCACCCCACCCUCGGUCAGGUAGGCAGGCAGCAGCGUCUACGCUGAACCGUACGGCCACACGUACGAACGCACGGAACCCGUACGCUACGUUCCGCCGCACUGACGCUCGUCGUACCUCUGCUCGCACGCUUGCGGGCGGGUAGGGGGCGGGGGGCGGAUGGGCGGACGGGGGGGCGUACGUGGGAACGGGCGGGCGGACGGGUGGUCGGGCGGGUAGGGAGUCGGAGCAACGCUUGAAAGACGCGCAGAUAGAUGUCAGAUUCUCCCGUAGGGAGGUCUGGCAAGGUGUUAGUUUAGGCGGCGGAGUUGUACGCAGGCCAGUCUGUGUUACAGCUUUGCCGUCAGGGUAGCUCCUUACGAGCUGCCCAAACUGAGGACCAGUUUUCCUCACAGGAGGAGGCUGGUGGGGCCUAGGGUGUUAGGGGUACGACGGUUGGCUCUUUCACAGAACGGGUGUUUUCCGUUCUGCGUUUGAGUCUGCCGCCUUUGGGCGUCUCCCUCUGAGAUGUCGGUUAGGAUUUCUUUUUUUUAUAUGUCCGUGUGUGUAACUGUUGCCUUUUAGCCUGUUGUGUUCCUGAGCAGCAAGAAGAGGCGGCUGUGGUGACCCGCCCGAUGCGGAAGGCUUCUGGGCCCUGUCGGCGGGGGCGCACCUCUCUGGCUGACUGGUUGACCAGGCUUUGACCAGGUGGCCGGGGAGGCGCAUCCUCGCUGGGCGGGGUCUGGGGGCCCUCCGUCUUGGGGAGGUCGCUGCAGCAGGAGGAGGUAACUACUGCUGGUUUUGUAAGGCAUUGUGGUUGAGAGCACCUUGCAGCUGUAACGCGAAUUUCGUUCCGUAAUAAACAAUGUACCGCCAUGCUGCCUGUCCUUCCUCCCUCCCAGCACUGUGUGCGUCUGUGUGUGUGUGUGUGUGUUGCUUAAUUCUCCCUCCCAGCACUGUGUACGUCUGUGUGUGUGUGUUGCUUAAUUCUCCCUCACUGCACUGUGCGUACGUCUGUGUGUGUGUGUUGCUUAAUUCUCCCUCACUGCACUGUGCGUACGUCUGUGUGUGUGUGUUGCUCUGUCUCUGUCUCUCUCUCUCAAUCUCUCUCUCUGUCUCUGUCUCUCUCUGUCUGUCUCUCUAUCUCUCAAUCUCUCUCUGUGUCUUUCUCUCUCUCUAGUUAGUAAAGAACGGGCAACGUUUGCCAUGGAAGACUCUACAGUAUAAGACUCUACAGUAUACAUAAGACUACAGUGUACAUCCCAACCCUCUACGGCCGUUGCUGCUCCACCCGGGCAUUACCACAUCCACCCGGGUCUACAAGAAACCUCCACGGCCGAGCCUCAACCACAGAACACACCGCUACGGUUCAUGAGGUUCCACGCCCCGGACUACCGCCAUGUUAGCCUCCAUAAUAGUCCUCGGCGCACUUGUUCUGAGACGUCCUGACUGGAGAGCUACACAACACUGGUCAUCCGCUGAGUGGUUGAAUUCCUGGUCUACCGGCCCCUGGAGGAGUGGUCGGUUGCCUGGUCUACUGUGGAUAUGAGUGGUUGAUUCCCUGGUCUACCCCUGGAUGACGCAGCUGUUCCUAUGCAGGGGAGGACUCACACAAGCAAUAAGCACCUGUCAGACCUGGAGACUCCCCCCUGAGCCUGACCGUGGAGCUGUGGGCCCUGCACCAGACCCCCAAUCCCCCCACACCACCCACAGCAGGGGCAGGGUGUUGAGACUCCCCCCACAGGCUAAGACAGGGAGGGACUUGAAGAUCCAGGUUUUUGUCAUCUGCACAGAAAUUGACACAUGACCCGCUGCGUGUUCUGCUGGAGAAAAACACUGCAUGACUGUUGUUGGGAGGAGACACAGCAUGAAGGCUUCCAGGAGCUGCAAGACAUCCUUGUGGUCAGGGCGCCUGGUCAUUAUGAUGGAGCGUCGGCAGAGAUCGAGCUGGCUGAAGGUUGGCGGCCAGGUCAAGCUCGCCUCGGACAAGGAGUUCUGUGAGAUGUGCUCGGCCGAUGUUGCUGACCUUGAAUACAUCAAUCUUACUAAGGUGGUGGAGGUGUGGAGACUACAUCUACAUUGACGACGGACUCAAGGAGAUCGCCGAGACUACUACUAUUACUAUUACCAUUACUACACUAUACUACUAUGUGUACUAUUAAAUCCUCUAUA
Eriocheir sinensis (Chinese mitten crab) is the source of this 2996-nucleotide long non-coding RNA. RefSeq lists it as uncharacterized. The transcript is spliced from 5 exons. Lineage: Eukaryota; Metazoa; Arthropoda; Malacostraca; Decapoda; Varunidae. The record is from RefSeq and is a predicted model, not a curated record.